Molecule: long non-coding RNA, 1740 nt
Filed under: Homo sapiens (human)
Lineage: Eukaryota; Metazoa; Chordata; Mammalia; Primates; Hominidae
Description: HSALNT0296377
Source: RNAcentral
GCUGGGAUUUUAAAGAGACGAGCUUCAGCCUGCUAAGCCGCGCUCACGCCGCCUCUCCGCCCUGGCCUCCCCGCGUCCGGCUUGGGGCCGGGUCCCUCCCGGGUCAAAGCUACGCCGGGUGCACUGCGGGCUGGGCAGCUCUCCCACUACGCCCAAAGCCCAGGCGGCCGGGACCGCCGUCCCAAAGUCACAAACCACACCCGUGAAGGACGCCCUCCGCAAGACAGAGAGGAGGCUGGGCCUGGGAAGGAACCUCCGGCCCUUCCUCACCAUGCAGCCAAGCCCUGCUUUCUCUACCUCCAGUCGUUUUCUGAGGACCGGCUUGGUGGGUGCUGAUGCCUGCCUGGAAGACCUCACACCCACAGUGUCUUAGAAGAUUCUGAAAGCAGUGUGAGACCAGAAUGACCAGCAAAGGAGAAAAGAACAAGGACACAUUGCAGCCAAAAUGGAGCUAGAAUCUUGCCUCUGUCCAUCCUUCACUGGAGUUAUCCUGGAUGGAGAAGGAACCAUAUCACCUGCAAAGCCUGGAAGGGGAGCCCUGCUGUGAGGUGAGCCAGUAAGUCUGUGAGUUCAGGAGGGAGCACACGCUUGUCUGUCCAUCUGUUCAUGAGCAGGCGCUCUUGAGUCUUCCUAAAUAUUGCCCAGAGCUCUCCAUCCAGAUACUGUCCUUUCCCUUCCUCUCCAUUGAUGGUCUCCAAGCCUUUCUUAGCUUUCAUCUUCCCCUAAGGAUUCCUUCUCCCAAAGCUCCAGCCCAUUCCAAUGUCAACUGCAUUCGUUGUUUUUGUUACUCUCAUUGUGUCAAAUGGGUUCUUUCCUAUGCAACUAGAUUGUAGGUUGCUCCAAGGUAAACACCGUGAUUUCUAGUUCCUUUGUUUCUACCACUGCAGGACUGUAGGAAGCCCAGUUGUAGGCAUCACUAGGACUCAGUAAUUACAUAAUUGCUCAGAUAAUUGAGAGAAUGAUUGAUUGAUUAGUGGUCAUUAAUGCCAUAAAAUGAAGGAAUUUCGCCCCUCACAUUUUCAAGAACCUAUGAGUUCGAAGAGACCUGAAAGAACAUUUUUAUGGGAGCCUACACCAGUGCUAUCACCUAAAGUGCGUGACCUUAGGGAAGUUGCUUCACCCCUUGUUUCUGUGCCUCCAAAAUACUGGUGUUAAUACAGUAAUUUCUGAUUCCUUCCACCUGUGCCCUGCUCAGCGAUCCAGUGUUCAAGCUGGUCAUCAGGAGAAAGCUACUUAUGAUUUCCUAACAAGCCACCACAGAACAUCACAUUCCCAAACAUGCUCUUCACCGUCCCUGCUGUCCCCACGUGCCUAGCCCUGGUGUGGGCAGGAAUGAGUGGGAUUGGGAUGUUUUCUCACAGGUCUUUCUCAGGUGAGGCCCCAGGCUGUGACCAGGCCCCUGCCCUGCAUGUGACUCAGGCCUAGCCCCUGCUGGGGCAGGAAUGCCACCCAGCACAGCAUCCUACUGGUGCCUGAAUAAAGAAUGGACUGGAGGUUCACCUGAAAGGGGCUGCCAGGUUUCUGCGGGGGCCAGCCAACGGCUCACAAUGACCCUGUGUUCGACUCAUCUUACGAUGAAAUUUUUCAGCUUGACGAACUUUUACUCAUCUUUCAAGGCUCGGCUCAAAUGUUAUUUCCCUGGGAAAACUGCGCUACUUUCAGCAAAAUGCAUUUCCUUUUGAUGGGCAUCUGUUUUUUUCUUUCUUUCUUUCUUUCUUUUUUUUUUUUUUUUUUUUUUUU